CUCUAAUGACUGCGUAAUAAAAACCACAUGGCUGAACAGUCACACACGGAGCACCGCUGCUUUACUGUGGCUCACUGAGGUACUGAGCUACUGAGGUACUGAGCUACUGAUGUACUGAGCUACUGAGGCACUAAGUUACCAGGAUACUGAUUUACUUUCACUCUGAGCUACUGAGGCACUAAAAUACUGAUGUGCUGAGGUACUGAGGUACUGAAAUACUGAAAUACUGAGCUACUGAGGGACUAAAAUACUGAUGUGCUGAGGUACUGAGGUACUGAGGUUACUGAAAUACUGAGCUACUGAGGCACUAAAAUACUGAUGUGCUGAGGUACUGAAAUACUGAAAUACUGAGCUACUGAGGGACUAAAAUACUGAUGUGCUGAGGUACUGAGCUACUGAAAUACUGAAAUACUGAG
Molecule: long non-coding RNA, 416 nt
Organism: Ictalurus punctatus (channel catfish)
Lineage: Eukaryota; Metazoa; Chordata; Actinopteri; Siluriformes; Ictaluridae
Source: Ensembl